RNAcentral lists this ribosomal RNA (300 nucleotides) under uncultured Thalassolituus sp. Its description in RNAcentral is "bacterial SSU rRNA". It matches the Rfam family "Bacterial small subunit ribosomal RNA", at positions 114 to 413 of the family's 1533-position model. The record is from RNAcentral. Lineage: Bacteria; Pseudomonadati; Pseudomonadota; Gammaproteobacteria; Oceanospirillales; Oceanospirillaceae.
CGCGUAGGAACCUACCUAGUAGUUUGGGAUAGCCAUUGGAAACGAUGAUUAAUACCGGAUACGCCCCACGGGGAAAAGGACAGAGGAUCUUCGGACUUUGUCGCUAUUAGAUGGGCCGUGCGUGAGAUUAGCUAGUUGGUGAGGUAAUGGCUCACCAAGGCGACGAUCUCUAGCUGGUCUGAGAGGAUGAUCAGCCACACUGGGACUGAGACACGGCCCAGACUCCUACGGGAGGCAGCAGUGGGGAAUAUUGGACAAUGGGCGAAAGCCUGAUCCAGCAAUGCCGCGUGAGUGAUGAAC